This 492-nucleotide ribosomal RNA is filed under the name uncultured bacterium. RNAcentral describes it as "partial 16S ribosomal RNA". It matches the Rfam family "Bacterial small subunit ribosomal RNA", at positions 29 to 507 of the family's 1533-position model. The record is from RNAcentral.
AGUGAACGCUGGCGGUAGGCCUAACACAUGCAAGUCGAACGGCAGCACAGUAAGAGCUUGCUCUUACGGGUGGCGAGUGGCGGACGGGUGAGGAAUACAUCGGAAUCUACUUUUUCGUGGGGGAUAACGUAGGGAAACUUACGCUAAUACCGCAUACGACCUACGGGUGAACGCAGGGGAUCUUCGGACCUUGCGCGAUUGAAUGAGCCGAUGUCGGAUUAGCUAGUUGGCGGGGUAAAGGCCCACCAAGGCGACGAUCCGUAGCUGGUCUGAGAGGAUGAUCAGCCACACUGGAACUGAGACACGGUCCAGACUCCUACGGGAGGCAGCAGUGGGGAAUAUUGGACAAAGGGCGCAAGCCUGAUCCAGCCAUACCGCGUGGGUGAAGAAGGCCUUCGGGUUGUAAAGCCCUUUUGUUGGGAAAGAAAAGCAGCAGGUUAAUACCCCGCUGUUCUGACGGUACCCAAAGAAUAAGCACCGGCUAACUUCGUG